RNAcentral lists this ribosomal RNA (497 nucleotides) under uncultured bacterium. Its description in RNAcentral is "partial 16S ribosomal RNA". It matches the Rfam family "Bacterial small subunit ribosomal RNA", at positions 28 to 507 of the family's 1533-position model. The record is from RNAcentral.
GAUGAACGCUGGCGGCGUGCCUAAUACAUGCAAGUCGAGCGACCGGACGGGAAGCUUGUUCCCUUAAUGUUAGCGGCGGACGGGUGAGUAACCCUUGGAUAACCUACUUAUAAGACUGGGAUAAUUUCGGGAAACCGGAGCUAAUACCGGCUAAUAUUUUGAACCGCAUGGUUCAAAAGUGAAAGACGGUUUUCCUGUCACUUAUAGAUGGUUCCGCGCUGCAUUAGCUAGUUGGUAAGGUAACGGCUUACCAAGGCAACGAUGCAUAGCCGACCUGAGAGGGUGAUCGGCCACACUGGAACUGAGACACGGUCCAGACUCCUACGGGAGGCAGCAGUAGGGAAUCUUCCGCAAUGGGCGAAAGCCUGACGGAGCAACGCCGCGUGAGUGAUGAAGGUCUUCGGAUCGUAAAACUCUGUUAUUAGGGAAGAACAUAUGUGUAAGUAACUGUGCACAUCUUGACGGUACCUAAUCAGAAAGCCACGGCUAACUACGUG